CGCGGUAAUUUGACCGUGCGAAGGUAGCAUAGUCAGUAGUCUUUUAAUUGAAGGCUUGAAUGAAAGGUUGGACGAGAGAUAGGCUGUCUCCUUUACGAAUAGUUGAAUUUAACUUUUGAGUGAAAAGGCUCAAAUUUUUUGAUGGGACGAUAAGACCCUAUAAAACUUGAUAUAAAUUUGGCUUAAUUUGCGAUUGUUUGUGAAAAGUAGUUUUGCUGUGUUUAUAUUUCGUUGGGGAGAUGUAGAUAUAAUAUGUAACUGUCUGUUUAAUGUAAUAAUUAUAAUUAGUUUGUGAUCCUUCAUUUGUGGAUUAGAAGAAUAAGUUACUUUAGGGAUAACAGCGUGAUUUUCUUUGAGAGUUCUUAUCGACAAGAGUAGUUGCGACCUCGAUGUUGAAUUAAAGUUUCGGCUAGGUGCAGCCGUUUAGCUGGUAGGUCUGUUCG
RNAcentral lists this ribosomal RNA (443 nucleotides) under Macrobrachium bullatum. Its description in RNAcentral is "partial 16S ribosomal RNA". It matches the Rfam family "Bacterial large subunit ribosomal RNA", at positions 1932 to 2583 of the family's 2925-position model. Lineage: Eukaryota; Metazoa; Arthropoda; Malacostraca; Decapoda; Palaemonidae. The record is from RNAcentral.